CUCCCCCGCGGCUCCGGGAAGCCCGGGCCUGAGAACUCUUGCCCACUUCGCUGCGAACACUUUCGCCUCUAUCCGCGGCCUGAAAACUCUGCCACCCUAGUUGAUAACAAAAGGAGGUGCACCUGGCCUUUCCGCGGAAUCUUCUGCGUUUUAAGCUUCGGGUGGAGUUGGGGGUCCUUUGGCUGUAAACUGCGCUUGCUGGUUGAAAAUAGAAAUCGGUCCUGCUCUCUUCAGCGGACGAUUCGUUACCUACCUGGAGUGUCUUUUGACUGUGGGCAUCCCCCGGUGUUCUUUAAGGUGAGCUAUUUUAAGAAAAUUAAUUUCUCAGUUUAUAAUUGAUUUCUUGAUACAGAUAACUUCCUGAGUGAAAACUUUUUUUUCACUAGCUUGUAAAUCUAACGUUGAGCAGAAAGCCAGCUAUUUUCACAAGUUUUAGUUAACGUACUGAAAGUCUGCGAAGAAUCCAAUGUAGAGGAUUCUGAGGUCAACAGAAAGGAUAUUGCUCUGUGUUUUAGAAGUACUGUGUGUUUUGGAAAGUGCUUUUUUCGCUUUAUAAUUUCUGUUUCGGGCACUUUAAUUCUUACAUGACAUAUUUGUUUUUUUAUGCUUCCUGUGUGGUCCCCCCCGCCCCUGCCUUCUGCUUGUCUUUUUUAACCUAACCAGAAGGUGGUGUUGGCCCCACGUGACUGUCAGUUAAUCUCUUGCUAAUCUUGGGCCUGCUGUGCUGGGGGUGGGACUACAGUGACCUACAGAACAGAUAGUCUGUUGCCACUAGCCUUUCAAUGCAGUUGCAAAGAGUUUUUAAACAAAUUAGGAUUGGUUCCCUAGAAUGCUCUGGGAUCAUAGAAGUAUAGAUUUAAUUUGUGGGGGGGAGAAAGUCUUGUGGAAAAGUUGGUAAAUUUAAGCUGAGACCGUAAGGAUUAGUGGGAUUUAGCUAGACAGAUGGGUGGGCUAUCUUCAGACAGAUAAUUACUACGUGUGUCAAUUCCAGUGGAACAGAGAGCCUGCCACAUUUCGGCACAGAGAAAUACGGGAAUAAAGGUUUGUUUGCUUUCUAAUGCA
This 1062-nucleotide long non-coding RNA is filed under the name Bos indicus x Bos taurus (hybrid cattle). RNAcentral's name for it is "lncRNA (ENSBIXG00005024662.1)". Lineage: Eukaryota; Metazoa; Chordata; Mammalia; Artiodactyla; Bovidae. The record is from RNAcentral.